GGCUCAGGACGAACGCUGGCGGCGUGCCUAAUACAUGCAAGUCGAACGGUCUUUCUAUGGAAGCUUGCUUCCACUGAGAAGAUAGUGGCGAACGGGUGAGUAACACGUGGGUAACCUGCCCAUAAGAGGGGGGAUAACAUCCGGAAACGGGUGCUAAUACCGCAUAGUUUUCUUGAUCGCAUGAUCGGGAAAGGAAAGACGGCCUUUGUGCUGUCGCUUAUGGAUGGACCCGCGGCGUAUUAGUUAGUUGGUGAGGUAACGGCUCACCAAGACGAUGAUACGUAGCCGACCUGAGAGGGUGAUCGGCCACAUUGGGACUGAGACACGGCCCAAACUCCUACGGGAGGCAGCAGUAGGGAAUCUUCCGCAAUGGACGAAAGUCUGACGGAGCAACGCCGCGUGAGUGAAGAAAAGGUUUUCGGAUCGUAAAACUCUGUUGUCAGAGAAGAACAAGUUGGAGAGUAACUGCUCCAGCCUUGACGGUAUCUGACCAGAAAGCCACGGCUAACUACGUGCCAGCCGCUGC
This 526-nucleotide ribosomal RNA is filed under the name uncultured bacterium. Its description in RNAcentral is "bacterial SSU rRNA". It matches the Rfam family "Bacterial small subunit ribosomal RNA", at positions 21 to 518 of the family's 1533-position model. The record is from RNAcentral.